CUUGAAAGGAAAGGGGUGAGGGUUGGAUCUUCCCAAUUUUGGAACACCAAAGUUAAAAUCUUGAAGAGGGGAUGUCUUGAAUCCAAAGGCUGAAGGAGUGGAAGAGGCAAAAAUUGAUGGGAAACUAUUGGACUUCCUCGAAUCCAAGGGGACAAUAUUUGCUCCCAUCAAGAAAAUCUUCCCAUCGGUUCUCUUAGCAUCCUUUCACAAGGGAAAACUAGACAAGC
RNAcentral lists this long non-coding RNA (227 nucleotides) under Elaeis guineensis (African oil palm). Its description in RNAcentral is "long non-coding RNA (EGUI_LNC071730)". Lineage: Eukaryota; Viridiplantae; Streptophyta; Magnoliopsida; Arecales; Arecaceae. The record is from RNAcentral.